This 468-nucleotide ribosomal RNA is filed under the name uncultured bacterium. Its description in RNAcentral is "partial 16S ribosomal RNA". It matches the Rfam family "Bacterial small subunit ribosomal RNA", at positions 28 to 507 of the family's 1533-position model. The record is from RNAcentral.
GACGAACGCUGGCGGCGUGCUUAACACAUGCAAGUCGAACGGAAAGGCCCUGCGUUUGCGGGGUGCUCGAGUGGCGAACGGGUGAGUAACACGUGAGUAACCUGCCCUUGACUUUGGGAUAACUUCAGGAAACUGGGGCUAAUACCGGAGAGGAGCUCCUGCUGCAUGGUGGGGGUUGGAAAGUUUCGGCGGUUGGGGAUGGUUUCGCGGCUUAUCAGCUUGUUGGUGGGGUAGGGGCUGACCAAGGCUUUGACGGGUAGCCGGCCUGAGAGGCUGACCGGCCACAUUGGGACUGAGAUACGGCCCAGACUCCUACGGGAGGCAGCAGUGGGGAAUAUUGCACAAUGGGCGGAAGCCUGAUGCAGCAACGCCGCGUGCGGGAUGACGGCCUUCGGGUUGUAAACCGCUUUCGCCUGUGGCGAAGCGUGAGUGACGGUAAUGGGUAAAGAAGCAACGGCUAACUACGUG